UAGGGAAUAUUGGACAAUGGGCGAGAGCCUGAUCCAGCCAUGCCGCGUGCAGGAAGAAGGCCUUCUGGGUUGUAAACUGCUUUUGCCGGGGGAUAAAAUACCCAUGCGUGGGGAAUUGAAGGUACCCGGUGAAUAAGCCACGGCUAACUACGUGCCAGCAGCCGCGGUAAUACGUAGGUGGCGAGCGUUGUCCGGAUUUAUUGGGUUUAAAGGGUGCGUAGGCGGCCCCGUUAGUCAGCGGUGAAAUACGGCAGCUUAACUGUCGAGGUGCCGUUGAUACUGCGGGGCUUGAGUGCGGUCGAGGAGGGCGGAAUUGACGGUGUAGCGGUGAAAUGCUUAGAUAUCGUCAAGAACACCGAUAGCGAAGGCAGCCCUCCAGGCCGCAACUGACGCUGAGGCA
Molecule: ribosomal RNA, 400 nt
Filed under: uncultured bacterium
Lineage: Bacteria
Description: bacterial SSU rRNA
Rfam family: Bacterial small subunit ribosomal RNA
Source: RNAcentral